Molecule: ribosomal RNA, 440 nt
Filed under: uncultured bacterium
Lineage: Bacteria
Description: bacterial SSU rRNA
Rfam family: Bacterial small subunit ribosomal RNA
Source: RNAcentral
CUCCUACGGGAGGCAGCAGUGGGGAAUUUUGGACAAUGGGGCGCAAGCCUGAUCCAGCCAUGCCGCGUGAGUGAAAGAAGGCCUUCGGGUUGUAAAGCUCUUUCGGCCGGGAAGAAAUCGUGGUCUCUAACAUAGGCCAUGGAUGACGGUACCGGACUAAGAAGCACCGGCUAACUACGUGCCAGCAGCCGCGGUAAUACGUAGGGUGCGAGCGUUAAUCGGAAUUACUGGGCGUAAAGCGUGCGCAGGCGGUUUUGUAAGACAGAUGUGAAAUCCCCGGGCUUAACCUGGGAACUGCGUUUGUGACUGCAAGGCUAGAGUACGGCAGAGGGGGGUGGAAUUCCUGGUGUAGCAGUGAAAUGCGUAGAGAUCAGGAGGAACACCGAUGGCGAAGGCAGCCCCCUGGGCCUGUACUGACGCUCAUGCACGAAAGCGUGGGG